RNAcentral lists this ribosomal RNA (487 nucleotides) under uncultured bacterium. RNAcentral describes it as "bacterial SSU rRNA". It matches the Rfam family "Bacterial small subunit ribosomal RNA", at positions 33 to 507 of the family's 1533-position model. The record is from RNAcentral.
GACGACGCUGGCGGCGUGGAUUAGGCAUGCAAGUCGAACGGUAGGAUACCUUCGGGUAUCUGAGAGUGGCGAACGGGUGAGUAACACGUAGGUGAUCUACCCUCAAGAUUGGGACAACCCAGGGAAACUUGGGCUAAUACCGGAUGAAAGCAGCAGCGAUGUUGUUUGAAAGGUGGCGUAAGCUGCCGUUUGGGGAUGAGCCUGCGCUCUAUUAGUUAGUUGGCGGGGUAAAGGCCCACCAAGGCGAUGAUAGAUAGGCGGCCUUAACGGGUGGUCGCCCACACUGGGAUUGAGAUACGGCCCAGACUCCUACGGGAGGCAGCAGUCGAGAAUAGUCUACAGUGGCCGAAAGGCUGAUAGUGCGACGCCGCGUGAACGAAGAAGCCCUUCGGGGUGUAAAGUUCUUUUAUAUGUGAGCAGUGCUUUCUAUGUGAACAGCAUAGGGAGAGAGAUAUUAGCAUAUGAAUAAGCAACGGCUAACUCCGUG